Molecule: long non-coding RNA, 2381 nt
Organism: Sapajus apella (tufted capuchin)
Lineage: Eukaryota; Metazoa; Chordata; Mammalia; Primates; Cebidae
Exons: 4
Source: RefSeq, a predicted model, not a curated record
GGAUCAGGGAGAAUCUCUUUCUGGUAACAUUGCUUCAAUUUUAGCAGAAUUCAUGAUUUUCUGAUAAGGGGCUCUUUUCCAACUGAUGUCUUAGCCUUCUUAGUGCCUCAAGUUAGAUCUUUUUCAGACAUGUUUUAACAAGUUAAUAUGAGUUGACUUUGAUGUAAAAAAUUUUGAAAUCCAUGCAUAGUUUUUUCAUAAUAUACAUUUUCCAUAAAAUUUUUGAUCCCUGGUAUAUAAUAUAUACAUAUGUUUCAUUAUAAUACUUGUACAAUUUGGUAAAACUGAGGUUCUGGACUAUCAUUAGGCAUAUAAUAAUUCUGAAAAAGUUUCUUUAAUGAUACCUUGCUAUUUACCUUCAGAAAACAACACCAAAUUAAAUCUAUUCAGGUCAUGAGAUUUGGCAUAUCGAGUAGAAAAUAACAUUGAAUUGCAGCAUACAAGAAUGAAGAGGCAAUAUGUAGUUCUUAAUCAUUAAAUCUAGAGUAUUUUCUGGAAAGCUUACAGAAGAAGUGACUGGAUAGAAAGACCUCAGGACUCAUCUGUGUUAAAUUUUUUUUUUCCUCCAGUUGUUUGCUAUAAACAUAAUUUAAGAACAACUCUACAGAGGGGUCAGACCACCAUUCUAGCAAAGAACUGAGUGAUUCACUGAAUACUCCUAAUUUCAAUUCUGAUUGUCAUUAUCUGGGUGGAAUCUGAAAAAGCAGAAAAAGGUGGAAAGUAAAGGAACAUUUGUAAAUGUCAGUUCAUGUUGUAGGGGUUGUAUCUUCCCUGGGGUUCUCAUUACAGUUGCCCAUCAAUGGAAUUUGUAGAAAAAAAAUGUGAUGCACAUGGGAACACAUUAGACCAGCUACAGGAACCUCUAAAGUGUGAUUUUCACUUUGGAUACUCUAAUCAGGAGACAGACCUAGAACAAUGAGCCUGUCCUGCUUUAGAAUGGAUGCCACCUUUAUCACAAGUUAACUUACAGGUUAACAUAACUUCUGUUCUUGCCAGAAAAAUUGUGAAAAGGAAUUGUCACUUCUUAUUUAAAAGGGAAAUGGUUGGGGCUCUGAAAUUUGUACUUAGAUCUGUUCUGCCUAUCCCUACAGAUACAACUAUCAUCAGUUUCCUGGUGAAGAAAUUGAGGCUCAGAGCAUGUUGAACUAAAGGUCUACAAACCAGACUUCUGUGACCAGGAAAUUUGGAAGCCAACCAUCGGACAUCAGGAAAGGAUGGAUGGAAGCAAUAUUAAUCAGAAUUAGCUUUGGAAUCUCUGACUCAUGUCUGGAAUAUCAUCAGCCAUUAGCACCAGACAAAAUGUAGCCACUGAAAAAUCUUCUGGGAUGCAAACUUUACAAAAAACUUCUACACCAAAGCUGAACCAAAGAUGAAAUCAUUACAUGCUGGCAUCGUGAAAACACCUAUAUUAUAAGCAAACGGCACAGCCAGGAUUCAAUUUGGGAUUAGCAUGCUAUCACUCCAAUGAUGCAUUGCGCCACUGGGCACAGAGUAAGCGGUGUACCCUGACCAAAGGCUGCCGAAGCAAUACAGAACUCCUUGUUAAGGUAAGGGAUAAGGCGACUUCUUCCUAAUUUGUAUUACCAUUCUGCCAAACUGAAAAAAAUUAAGACAUUUAAAUAUUUUUUAAGAAGUCUUUUCCUUUCAGAAUCGCUUAAAUCUCUGUCCCUAUUACUCUCUUCUAAAGUGUGCCUUUGGGUUUGGCUGUCUCUGUAAUUAUAAUUUGCUGCAAAUUCAUAAUGAAUACCUACACAAACCACAUCUGGUUUCUGAGCUUUUAGUGUUCUUGAAGAAAAUUUCUCUCUUUUAUUUGGGGCGAGAGAAACAGAGCAAAUUAUGCUUGGUUAAAAUAUGCCGUCCAGGCUCCAGAUAUGGAGGCAGGGGUACUGGAAUAAGGAUUAUGAUAGCAAUACAAGCCAGGUCAAUUAGAUUUCUAUCAAAAAUUUAUAAUCAGAAAACAUGUUUUUAUAGAAUUAUACAACAUUAGAGCCUAAUCAAUAUUAGUGAUAGACAUUAGGACUUAGAAGCUGAGUGCACAAUCUAUGUUCACAGUUCAUGGUAAUGCCCCUCUGUAAUGCAGGUCACCCAAAGAAGCAAAUGAUAUUUUUCUAUUAAACCACAAUUCCUGCUGUUAAAACCCUAUAUUUUCUUAGUCAUUUAAUAUUGUUCCUUUCCUAAGAAAUAUAUUUAAAUGCUACCCAAAGAUUUUUCAUAAAAAAGAUAAGGAAUAUGAAUUUUAUUUAUCUUUCAGUCUUGUUAUUACCUGUAAAAUCAUUUAACACUAACAAAAACAUCACAUUGCUCUCAAAUCCCGUAAUAUGUCAAUGCCUUAUUAUUUCUUUUAGCUAGAAUAUUUUUUUUUCCAAUUUCAAUGUAUUUUU